This 29055-nucleotide long non-coding RNA is filed under the name Prunus persica (peach). RNAcentral describes it as "long non-coding RNA (PPER_LNC001538)". The record is from RNAcentral. Lineage: Eukaryota; Viridiplantae; Streptophyta; Magnoliopsida; Rosales; Rosaceae.
AACGGCGGUCCUUACAAACAAACCGCCGUUUAAAUUGUAAAAUCAACGUCGGUAUGAUCGACGUAUAUUACAGAAAUCCACGUCGGUAAAUUAAUAAAAACGACGUGUUAAAUAAUAUACCAUGACGCGAGUUAUUACUUAUGUACUUUAAUUUUUGAGUUUACUACGACGGUACCUACAAACUACUGUCGUAUUUAUUUACCACGUCCGAAGUUAAAUGUACCGUCGUAUUUUGUAAUUUAUACGUCGUAGUUAUAUGUAACCGCCAUAUUAUUUUUUUGAAAUGGUUUUAUAUGUAAGCAACUUUUCGUCUACUUGACUUACACAUUUGUUGUUUUUAUAUUCUUAUUUUAUUUAAAUCUGUCAUCCAAAAAAGAAACUUUACAUAUUGCAGAAUAUUAAUUUCCUUCGUUUUAAAUUUCCUCCGGAAAAAAAACUCUAUUUAUAACGCACUGUAAUUGAAAAAUAAACUGAAAGGUCACGGGAAAAAAAAUUCUAUUCAUAAUUUAAAAAUUAAAAUCCACGUCGGUUAUAUUAAACCUAACGACGUUAAAUGAAAUGAUUCCACGUCGAAUGAAAAAUAUUGCGUCGUUUUAGUUAAAAACGACGUAGUUAAAUGUAACCGCCGUAUUAUUUUUUUGAAAUGGUUUUAUAUGUAAGCAACUUUUCGACUUACACAUGCACUGUUUCCAAACCCGAUUAAAAAUUUCAAUCUCCCAGAGAAACCUUUUCGUCUUUUUUCCUUGUCAGAGCAUUGUCAGAGUUUUUCAUCGUCUUCCUCUCGUCUUCUUCGUCGUCUCUGAACUUAAACAUCGAUCAUCUUCCUCUUGCUUUCAUUGCACGCAAAAGGUAAGCUUUCAUUUUCACUAUUUUGGUUACUGUUUUGCAUGCUCAUACGUUUUUUGUUUGAAAAAUCUUUUUACCUUUUUUCUGGCCAAAAUCAUUUUACUUCUUUCCAAGUUUGAUAAAAUAUACAGACAAAGAGAGAAAGUUUCCAACUUUGAAGACAACUACAUCAACUAAAUAAGACGACGGUAGACCACGACGGUUCGUCAGUUGUUCUAGCGUCGUCUGAAAAUUGACAAAGUUGUUUUUAAAAUAAUAGUCUUUUUUUAUAUGCUUGUUUAAUUGCAGGUUUGAUUUCGCUGAACAAUGGUUUUUGUUUUUCCCUUAUUUGAUAAAAUAUAAAGAAAAAGAAACUAGGGUUGGUAUCUAAUAUAGACGAUAAAAUAUAAAUAAUAGUUUACCACGACGGUGUAUUACUAUUGACGUCGUGUGAACAUAUAUACCACGACGUUAUAUAAAUAAUGGUUUUAAACAUUUAUUACGUCUGAGAUUAUUUCAUUGCGUCGUCUAAAAUCAUAUCAUACGUCGUAUUUUUUUAAUACCGUCGUUUGUGUUCUUAAUGUUUUCCUGAAAUAUUUUCACUUGCAGUUUUGUCUGUUAAAAUGGUUUCUCAACAACAAACUAAGGAUUCUGGCUCCAAGAAGCUUGGAAUGGUAGCUCCUCAAGAUAAGUCUUCGAAGGAGAUGAAGUCUUCGAAGAAGAUGAAGUUUGCUUCAUCAUCUGCUGAGACAGAACAAACCAGCCAGACAACAAUCUCAGAUGAUUCAAAGACUGGUCGAGGUAUGAGCACAAUGCCUCGUGUUGUGAAGAGAAAGCUUCAGAAACUGAGGCCAAUUGUUGAGUACAAUAAAAGGGGGAAAGGUGUUGGCCAAGCACAUAUUGAGAUGCAGUCGUAUAUUGGUGUGUUGGCACGCUCCAGGAUCCCACUUGUGGACAAGAAAUGGUCCCAAAUCCCCAAGGAUAUAAAGGAGCAGAUUUGGGAAGCAGUUGACAUGGCUUUUGUCGUAGGCCAAGGGGGCAAGACCUCUGUUUUAGCUUCUGCUUCCAAGAAAUGGAAGGAUUUCAAGUCUACACUAACGAGGCAUUAUAUCCUUCCAUACACCAAUGACAGGGAGAAAUUAAGCCAACCCCCUGAAACAUAUAAAUUCAUAGAGAAAGCACAAUGGGAUGCCUUUGUAGCUUCAAGGCUAUCCAAAGAUUUUGAGUCUGUGCAUUCUCAACAUGCACAGAUUAGGGAGAAACUCGAGUACAAUCAUCGAUUGUCUCGAAAAGGAUAUGCUGGAUUGGAGGAUCAAUUGGAGGAAACCAUGCCUGGGGUAGAAAUUGAUCGAUCUACCUUAUGGAAGAGAGCUAGACAGGACAAACAUGGUAACAUCCCUGAUCCAAAGGUGGCAGAGAAAGCAAAAUUAAUUGUAAGCCUACUAUCACUCUGUUUUAAAUUUUUAUUAAACUGUGAAUUAUUCUUAUUACGUCGUAUGUUAUAUUUUUCGUCGUGUGAAUGAUAUUACCACGUCGAAAAGUUUUUAAAAACGUCGUUAAAGGUCUAAAUAGGAAUCACUACUAUGUUUUCUGUAAUUACAGCAUAAGACGUCGGUGGUUCAUUUUCGCGUCGUGUGAAUGAUAUUACCACGUCGAAAAUUUUUUAAAAACGUCGUUAACGGUCUAAAUAGGAAUCACUACUCUGUUAUCUUUAAUUAUAGCAUAAGACGUCGGUUGUUUAUUCAUUUCGUCGUUUUAAAUAAAUAACCACGUCGGUAUAACUACCGUCGUGAUAAGUUAUAAUAACGUCGGUUUAUACGUUAUUGCGUCGUGUGAAAUUAUAUAAUACGUCGUUUGUACAUAAAUAACCGUCGUGUGUUUUUUUGUUUAUCUUUUUUUAGGAUGAAUUGCAGAAACAAGUCUCGGAAGGCAAAGUCAGAGUAGAUGGCAGCAAUGAUGUGCUGACCAUGGCUUUGGGCCCCGAGCAUCCAGGCAGACUGAGGGGAGUUGGUGCUGGUGUUUCCCCAAGGCAAUAUUUCAAUUUGCCCAAACCACAGAGGGUGAGCUUUGACGACCGUUUGAAGGACAGUUUAAGAGUUCUCCUUCAAGAAGAGACUAAAAAGAUGGAGGCUAAGGCAAGGGAAGAGGCCUUAAGGAUGGAGGCUAGGACAAAACAAUUGGUAGAGGCUGAGAGGGAGCAUUUCCUGAGUCAGCUUUCCCAAUUAAUUCCCAAUUUUGAUCCAAGCAUGCUUAAACCAAGAAUUAGCCAAAGCCCCAAAAAUCCAAUGUCUGACAAAGCUAGCUGCUCUGGAGGUGAUGUGAGAUCCCUACAUUUGGAGGAUGAUACUGCCAAAAUGGGGAAACAUCAGCCAGAUGAAGAGAAGGAAGAAGAAAAAAGAGAUGAAGAGAAGGAAGAAGAAAAGGAGAAAGAAGAUGAAGAAAAGCAUGACGACAAGGUAUGUUCACAUAACUUUGCCUUUUUUAUUUGUUUUUCAAAAUUUCAGACGUCGAUAUUUUUAUUUAAUCCGUCGUUUGUUUAAAACUUAGACGGCGGAAUUUUUUUAAGACGUAAUAAAAUAUUUAAACGACGGUUUUUGCACCGUCGUUUAAAUGGUUUCAGACGACGCUUUAUUCAUAAAACCGUCGUCUUUAUUGAAUUACCACGACAGUUUUUUCACCGUCGUUUAAAUACUUUUAAGACGACGUUUUAUUACUUAAACCGUCGUCUUUAUUGAAUUACCACGUCAUUUUUUUUAUUUCUUUAAACAGGUUAUUGAAGUUGGUGCUUAUUCAAAAAUGGAGGCGCCAUCUUCUUUAAAAACCCUUUGUCGUUUUGUGGAAACGACACUCCUGCCUGAGGAUAAGACACUCCAAUUUACAAUUGAUAAGGAGGUGUUUGGUGGUGAGCGCGAUACCUUCCUCCUGCCUGAAGAUAUUACACAAUUUGCAGGCAUGGAAGAAAUUGGAGCUACUGUAUUGGCUGUAUAUAUGAGGUUUGUACUUCUAAAAUAAUACCUCGUUGGUUUAUAUAUUGCGUCGUCUUAACUAACUAACCACGUCGUCUUAACUAACUACCGUCGUGAUAAAUAUAUUAUAACGUCCUCAUCUAUUUCAGUACGUCGUGUGAAAUAUUAUAAUACGUCGUUUUUUUAUACAUAACCGUCGUGUUUGUUUGUGCUGACUUGUUUAUAUUAUUUUAUGUAUUUAGGUACUUACACGAUGUUUUGAAACAAGCCAAUAUGUGCAGCAUGGUUGGCUUUAUUGACCCUGCUACAGUUAGUGCCAACUCUGGCACAAUAACUGAAAGAUCACGACUGGUAGCAGCUCGACUUCAGAAGACAGACGGUGAACAGCUUUUCAUGAUGCCUUACAAUCCAGGGUUAGUCUCCUUAGGAUUUUGUUUUUAUGAUUUUCAAUAAAUGACAGCUUAUAAACUAACCACGUCGGUGUUUUAUUUUAUUUAGUCGUUUGAAACUACUAACCACGUCGGUAUUUAUUUGUCGUCGUGAUAAAUAUAUAAUGUUGUCGUUAUCUACUUUAUUUCGUCGUGUGAAAUACUAUAAUACGUCGUUUUUGUAAAUAACCGUCGUUUUUAUAUUAAUUUUGUGCAGCCGUCAUUGGAUCCUGCUGAUUGUAAGAGCAAAGAAGGAGACCGUCUAUUUUCUGGAUCCUCUGCCAGGUCAUCGUGUGGUCGACGAAGAGGCGAAAAACAUCGUGAACAGUGCUUUAAAAAUAUAUAAUACCCACAUAGGCCGAGCAGGACGUAAAAAUGUAAUUUGAAAAACUCUCUCAGGCACACCAAAGCAACCCAGCAAUGUCGAAUGCGGGUAUUAUGUGAUGCGCUUCAUGAGGGACAUCAUCAUGGAUCCUUCCUUGGGGUUUGAGAAUAAGGUAAGAAGAAAUUACCUUCAUACAUUUCACGUCGUUUUUUGUAUUAUCAACGACGGUCAUGUAAAAUUAACGUCGUUGAAUGGAUAUACUACGUCGGUUAUGAAAAAUAUCGUCGUCUGUGAUUGAAUUUCUUUUUAUUUAUAAACCCUAAUAGUCAUUGUUUAUGCAGUAUGCCAAGGGAAACCAGGAAGCUUCAUACCCCCAAGAAGCCAUUGAUGAAGUCCGGAAUGAAUGGGCAGAGUUUGUUUUCCAAAUUAUUAAACAGGGCAAUUAUUGAACACUUGAUAUUUAUGUAUAAUGUACCAAUUUUCUCUAUAAUAUGUAAUGUAAAAAUUUGUUGAGGUUUUCUUAAAUUAAAAAAAAAACAAACAUACAAAUUGCUUAACCGACGUGUAAUACUUUUCCAACGACCUAAUAAAGUCACAAACCGUCGUAUUUUGUUGUUUCGUGUUUUAAACAAUUACGACGUAAAAAAAUAGUUAGACGACGUUCUUUGAACAAUUGAGUCGUUAAUGGUUUACAAUAUCUUCAAUUUCUUAAGGGUUCAGGGUAUAAUCGACGACGUUUAUGUAACGACUGCGGUUAAGUCGUAAAAUAUAUAUUUUACGUCGUAUAGUUAAAUAGCCGCCAUGGUUUUUCAUUUUAACGACGUCAUUUUAACGACUUAGUAGUCUAUUACAAUUUACAACGUCUACAAUUUAUUAACACCGACGUGGUUUGUUGUUGUGGUAAGAAUAUUUUAUUAUUUUUAUAUCAAAAUAUUCAAAAUAAAUUUAAAAUAAAUCAGAAAAUUGAAAAGUCAACUCCUAUGAAGUCAUUGAUAUAUUUUCUUCCACAUAAACCUUGAAAAAAUUCAUUUUGAAUAACAAAAAUUUAAAAUGACCAUCCAAAACAAAAUUGUUUUGAUGACUCAUAAAAUCACUUCUAGUUUUAUGGUUUAGGGUUUAGAGUCUAGGGUUUAGAGAUUAGGGUUGUUAUUUAUUGGGGUUUAUUUUUAAAGUAUAAUUUUUGGGUAGUCUAGGGUAUAUGUUAGGCUUUAAAACCAUAAAACCUUUUAUAAACUUAAUUUUUUAAAUUGUAUAAUUUAAUUUUAUGGGUUUAGGGUAUUAAUUUUUAACGACGGUGGUUGGGUCGUGGAAUACAUAUUUUACGUCGUACAGUAAAACAUACGACAUGGUUUACGCUUUAAACGACGUCAUUUUAAUAUGUAAGUCGGUUUAUAUAAUUUACAACGUCAACGUCUUUAAUUUCUUAACACCGACGUGGUUUUUCAGUCGUCGUUAUAUAAAAAAUUCAAAAUAAAUUUAAAAUUAAUCCGAAAAAUGAACGGCCUUACGUUCUUAAUCCGAAAAAUGAAGUUUCCGUCGUGGAAUAUUAAAUUUACGUCGGUACUUGUAGAACUUUCGCCUUGGUUUUUCUUUCGACGUUUUAAAACGCGCGCGCUCUAAAAAUUUUCGCGCGACCUAAACUUUUUUAGAUUUGGCUCUUAUUCUUAUACUUCGAACCCUGAAACCUAAAANNNNNNNNNNNNNNNNNNNNNNNNNNNNNNNNNNNNNNNNNNNNNNNNNNNNNNNNNNNNNNNNNNNNNNNNNNNNNNNNNNNNNNNNNNNNNNNNNNNNNNNNNNNNNNNNNNNNNNNNNNNNNNNNNNNNNNNNNNNNNNNNNNNNNNNNNNNNNNNNNNNNNNNNNNNNNNNNNNNNNNNNNNNNNNNNNNNNNNNNNNNNNNNNNNNNNNNNNNNNNNNNNNNNNNNNNNNNNNNNNNNNNNNNNNNNNNNNNNNNNNNNNNNNNNNNNNNNNNNNNNNNNNNNNNNNNNNNNNNNNNNNNNNNNNNNNNNNNNNNNNNNNNNNNNNNNNNNNNNNNNNNNNNNNNNNNNNNNNNNNNNNNNNNNNNNNNNNNNNNNNNNNNNNNNNNNNNNNNNNNNNNNNNNNNNNNNNNNNNNNNNNNNNNNNNNNNNNNNNNNNNNNNNNNNNNNNNNNNNNNNNNNNNNNNNNNNNNNNNNNNNNNNNNNNNNNNNNNNNNNNNNNNNNNNNNNNNNNNNNNNNNNNNNNNNNNNNNNNNNNNNNNNNNNNNNNNNNNNNNNNNNNNNNNNNNNNNNNNNNNNNNNNNNNNNNNNNNNNNNNNCUGUUUUUGUUUAAAACCCGUCGUCUCAUGUUGUUUAUACCUUGCGAUUAGAUCAUGUAUAAUCUGCUAUAGUGAUGGUCAUGCCUGUAUUUUCACUUUUAUAUAGAUAAUAGGUUAUAGUGUCGGAGAUGGAUAAGUCAUGGAUGCACUCGGAUAGAAGAUCGAAGGCAUAUGAGUUUGGGGUGGAAGCAUUUUUGAACUUUGCUGUAGAAAAUCUUCUAACUACAACACAUAUCCGUUGUCCAUGUGUUAAAUGUGUUAAUUUGAAGUUGUUUGGGGUUGGAAUUAUAAGGGAUCACUUAUACUUUAAUGGAAUUGACCAAAGCUAUAAGAAUUGGACAUUUCACGGAGAACCUUGGGAAGCAACUACUAAUGCUAGCAGAAAUGUUGAAGAAGAUGAUGGCCAUAGUAGGUACAGUUUUGUGUCUGAAGAAAUUGAUAUGGAUGAUAAUGAUUUUGGUGAUUUUGGUUCGGAUCCGUAUGAGUUUGCCAAUGUGAUUGGGGAUGGAGAUCAACCAGUGUACCCUGGUUGUAGAAAGUACACGAAGUUAUCGGCAUUAGUGAAGUUGUAUAAUUUGAAGGCAAAACAUGGGAUGAGUGAUGUCUGUUUUACAGAAUUAUUGAUACUUCAAGGCGAUUUGCUUCCAGAAGGAAAUACAAUACCAACCUCCAUGUAUGAGGCUAAAAAGACUUUGUGUGCAUUGGGGCUGAGUUAUGAGAAAAUGCACGCAUGCCCCAAUGAUUGCAUCUUGUAUAGGAAGGAGUAUGAGGAUUCAACUAAUUGUCCUACUUGUGGUAUCUCAAGGUGGAAGGAAGGCAAAGAUGCAAUCUUGAAAGAGGGUGUGCCAGCGAAGGUGGUGUGGUAUUUUCCCCCAAUUCCAAGGUUUAAAAGGAUGUUUCAAUCACAUGAGACAGCUAAGAGUUUGACUUGGUGGCAUGUUGCUAGAAAAUCAAUUGACGGUCAGAUGUCUCAUCCGGCGGAUUCCCCGUCUUGGAAACUUCUUGAUGAUAAAUGGCCUGAGUUUGGUAAUGAGCCGAGAAACUUGAGAUUGGCUCUUUCAUCUGAUGGAUUCAAUCCCCACAGUUCUCUAAGUAGCAGAUAUAGUUGUUGGCCGGUUAUCUUAGUUACAUAUAAUCUCCCUCCAUGGCUGUGCAUGAAACGAAAGUUCAUGAUGUUAACCUUAUUGAUUUCCGAUCCUAAACAACCCGGAAAUGAUAUAGACGUCUACUUGGAGCCUUUGAUUGAUGAUUUAAAAUCCUUGUGGGUUGGGAUUAGAGGAGUGUAUGAUGCACAUAAUGGAGAAUACUUUACACUCAGAGCUGCAUUAAUGUGGACAAUUAAUGAUUUCCCCGCCUAUGGAAACUUAUCUGGUUGUGUUGUUAAAGGAUAUAAAGCUUGUCCAAUAUGCGGCGAUGAUACACCUAGUCAAACAAAUAUUUUUUGUUGACGACCCGAUGCAUCGUGGUUGGUCGUGUAGGCGUGUGAGUGUGUGUUUGUGUUUGUUUUUGUGUGUGUGUGUGUGUGUGUGUGUGGUGUGUGUGUGUGUGUGUGUACCAUUACUNNNNNNNNNNNNNNNNNNNNNNNNNNNNNNNNNNNNNNNNNNNNNNNNNNNNNNNNNNNNNNNNNNNNNNNNNNNNNNNNNNNNNNNNNNNNNNNNNNNNAUGUAAUUGGCAGUGUAUGACAUUAAUUUUGUAAUAUAUUGUAAUGUGAUUUCUUCACUUUCUACGUUCAAAUAAAACACGACGUUAUUGUGAAUCAGUUAUUCAGCAUAUUUACCGACGUCUUAAAGCAACGUAACAAUGAAGAACCACGACGCUAUUGUGAAGCAAUUAUUCAGGAUAUCACGUCGGUGAAGGAUAAAGAACCGCCAUGUAAUUCAAAAUAACACGACUCCAAUCCCAUAAUACCGACGUCUAAAAAACGAGAUAUGUAAUCUGAACGUUAAAAAAUACGACGUCAUCAUACAUUUUCCACGUCGCAAGUUCUUUUAUAAACGAAGAGGAACGAAAUUAAUUCCGACGGAAAUUCAUUAUAACCGCCGUCUAAUAACAAUUAAACGACGUUAUUUGUAAUACGGCUCCCAUCAUAAUCUACGCCGUCUAUAUGUUCUGUAAUACGGCUCUCAUUUAUUUGGAACCGACGUUGUUUAGACGUUCAACGUCGUCUAUAUUAUUAAGUGCGUCGUGAGUAAUGAAUACAUAUAAAUACAACGUCGACUAUAUAAAUGUAUACGUCGUAAAUAAUGACACUGACAACUAUUUCCACGUCAUCUUUUUUAGAUAAAAUCGAAGUGGAAAAUUUAUUUCACGACGGUUUUUUGUAAAUAAGAGACGUUGUAGAACUUUAGCAGACUAAACACGUCUGUUUUUAUUGUUUUCCGACGUUGUUGUAUUUAACAACGUCUAAUAUUUAUGGUCGUUGUUUGUUUCUGAAAAUAGGACGUAUAAAUUUUUUAAUACGACUCUCAUAUAUUUGUAACUGACGUUGUUUAGUUUUUCAACGUCUACUAUAGAAACACAUACGUCGUAAAUAAUGACACUGACAACUAUUUCCACGUCAUCUUUUAUCAAAAAAUCGAAGUGGAAAAUUAAUUGUACGACGGUUGUGUUUAUAUGUGCGACGUAGUAGGUAUCAAUAACAUCGUCUUCUAAUGUAUUUAAAGACGUCAUAUUUUUUAUUGUCGUGAAAAUUAUAUUUAACGUCGGCGUAUUUUUAUUGUCGUCGUUGUAUGUCUAUCUUGCGGCCUUGUUCUCUUAAUAUGUGUCAUAUUUUCCCUUUUUAACGACGGUCUUUUUAGAGAAUUGGUCGUCUAUUAUCAUCAUCGAUUGCUUUUUUUAGAUCUUUUUGCAGUACAAAGACGUCGUUUUGUAUUUUUUGAUGACGUUGUAUUGUUUAACAACGACGGUUAUUUAGCGUCGUGGUUUAUGAGGGAAAAGAUGACGGUGGAUUCCACGACCAUUGAAAAACCAAAUACACGACGGUGAUUUACCGUCGUCUUUUUGCUUUUUUGUAGUAGUGAUCGGAAACUUGACUAAUUAGAAUACAACAUAUGUCGAAAUAUUUUUAUCAUAAAUGGUCUCUAAGGUUCGUGAAAUUAUUAGCUUUAGUCCUUCAUGUUUUUUUGUGACAUCAUUGGUCCUUUAUGUUACUCCUCUUCACACAUCAAUUUGGUUCUGCCGUUUGGAUUCGUCAAAAUUUAUGUUAAAUUGAUGGCAUGACAUGUAUAUGGUGCCUACAUAUCCAAUGAGAUAAUGACCCGUGGAUCUAAGUAAAAAAUUUGUUUUAAAAAAAUAGUUUCAUAUUUAAAAUUUUUAAAGGGCGAAGACUCAUUGGGUAACUCGAAGUUUGGGUUGUUGAAGCCUUCAAGCAUGGUUUUGCUCACAAAAGAUUGGAACGCAAUGUGUUGGGUUGAGCACUGAAAACCAAAGAAUAUCAAAAAUGUAGUAGGGGGGAGAGAGAGAGAGAGANNNNNNNNNNNNNNNNNNNNNNNNNNNNNNNNNNNNNNNNNNNNNNNNNNNNNNNNNNNNNNNNNNNNNNNNNNNNNNNNNNNNNNNNNNNNNNNNNNNNACCUCAUGUCAGCACUUAAUAGAAAAUUUGACGGACCCUAACGGCAUGGAUCAAAUUGAUGUGUGGUGUGUAACAAAAAGGAUCAAUAAUGUCACAAAAAACAUAAAGGACCAAAGUUGAUAAUUUUGCGAACCUUAUACACCAUUUAUGAUAAAAACCCUAUAUUGUAUAAUUUUAGUGUGUUUUUUUCUUAAAUGCUAUUGAGAAGAGAUUUUAUAAAACUGCUAUAUAAAAGGUUCACCACAAUGCUAUAAAACAAUAGUAGAUUAUGGCUCUCAGAUGUUUUCAUCUUCUUAUUCAUCCAAGCAGAUCGAUAACAUAUGGUCACUACUGACUUUUUCUUGUAGUUCUCAACAUCCAUCUUUCAAGCCAUCAACCAAGUUGUUGCAUUGCUCCUCACUGUUAGAAAAGCCUCGUUUCCCUCCUCCUCCUCCAUUGAUUGAAGGAGAGACAACAAAAGCAACUUAUGAAACAAGCCCCUCAUUUCCUUGUUAAACAUAAAUCGACCCAUUAUUGAUGAGGACUGAGAAUCUAAGAGCACACUAGUAAUUAACCUGAGUGGGGAAUAUGGAUGAUGGAUCUCUCUCUCUCUCUCUCUCUCUUGAAAAAAUCAACUUCAUUAUCCUUGGUGAAUUUGUUCUGAAUUAGUCGUGUCCAGCUACAAGCAAUACUGUACGUAGUAUAUUAUUCUCUGCAUUUGUGCAUGCCAACAACAAACAAAUAUUAUUCUCUAUUAUAGCAUAUAGGCCGUCAUUUUCAAUCCUUAUAAGAGAAAACUUGCUUCGCCAUAAGAGUACGUAGCUUGGCAAGCAAGGUAAGGGUACUUCAAAAGAUUCCUUCCAUCAUCUAUAUAAGACACAUGUGACAUUGCAUGUCUCAUCAAUCAUGUUAAGAUAAAGCUAGCUGGCAAGGCAAAUUACCAACCUUUAUGCUCGAGUAUAUUAUUCCAAGCAGAUAUAAAUGUUAAUAUAUGUGAAGAAUAUUAUGAUCAAUAUAGAAUAUGUAUCAUGAUCAGUUAUGGUAUCGACUGUCAGAAAAUAUCAUCCGCAUAUGUGCAUACCAACAUUAUCGAAAGACAGUAGGAGUAUCGUCAUAUCCGAUACAAGUAUCGGAGCAUGGGUAAGAGUAUAUAUACAAGCAUACCCGUCCAAUUAGGAGAAUCAGUGCAACAUAGAUGAAAAGAAAUUAGAUGUGAUUUCACAUAUUUUUAAAGAAUAGGGGAAAUAAACCAAUUAAUCUCUUUUGUCUUCUCCAUACAUUUUUGGUUGUGAAUUUUGGUUUUCGAAGAAUUUGGCAUUUCAAGCAACUUGGAAAACAUUUUGAUGAUCCAUUGAACCUUGUUAAAGUCGAUAUUCAAUCUCUAUGGACUUUGGCCGAAAUGUCUCAUUUCAAUUGGAAAGUGACAUUGAGAUUUGAAAAGACUAGACAUUAAGGUGGCAAGAGAAGUCUAAAAGGAUCAAACAGAAAAAAAUAAUGAAAAAUUGAAAAUAACCUAGAAAGGGGAGAAAAAAUUAGUUGCAAUAGGGAUAAUAAUGUUUGAGUAAUGCUAAACGAACUCUAAAAUUAACUUAGUACACCCUACUAUCAAACUAUUUAUUGAAUUACUAAUUUACCCUAAUAUAAAAUGACCAAAAAGGAUAUAUUGAAUUGUGCAGCAAAUGUAAUUUUAAUAAGUACACAUUACUCACCAUAUUCAACCCUAAUAUUCGAUGGAGGCGACAUUGAAUGCUAUGAAUCCAACCCAAACCCACCACCACCGUCCCUCUCUCUCUCUCUCUCUCUCUCUCUCUCUCUCUCUCUCUCUCUCUCACAAAUUAUCUUAUUUGCUCUAAAUUUUUUGCAAUGAGUCAGAAUCUUCUAUGUGUAUGUGGCAUUCGUUCAUUAGACUUGGUUAAUGCAUUCAACCCACCCAAAACAAUAAUCAUUUGAUGUUCAUCCUCGAUGUUGGUGGUUUCAAGUGAGCAUGUUCCCAAACGGCUCUUACACUUGCCCACUAGAACUCCAGCUCCUCACCCUCUGAUGAAUCUAAUGACAAUUAUGUUGUUGUUUGCACCAUAAACACCAACUUCCAACAACUCCAAUACAACCUAUUUCUUCUUAAUUAGAUACCUUGGGGGUUGAUAGCAACCUCAAUAGUCUAAGAAACAAACCCACUUCGGAAUUUUCCUUCUUCCACUAGUUGAAGGGAGAUGGGUUCCAACACGAUAUUACGCGCUUAUUAGAAUCUUAUACUCGUCGAGUCUGGGUUGGCUGGUGAUAAGCAGGGGAAGGGUGGAGUUGGGUUGUGUUAGAGAGAGAGAGAGAGAGAGAGAGAGAGAGAGAGAGAGAGAGAAAGAGAAAGAGAGAGAGAAGGGCGGUAGUGGUUGGGUUGGGUUGGAUGCGAAAGGGCUUAAAUCAGAGGAGGAAGGACGGGUUUGGCUGGGUGGGUGACAGGACCCGACCCAAUUUCCGCUUUGGAAUCCGAGCUGAAUCCUGUGCGUGUCCGACACCUGGCGAAUGUCGGGCACGAAUGACCUUUUUACCCUUCUCUUUUCAAAUUCUUUUUUUUUUUAAACUUCCCUUAGACUUCUACCGAAAAUUCGACAGAGUCUCCCCUGUAUUUUGACCAAACCCAAAGUCUUCCACCUGUCAAACAGUCUCAAAUAACACACCAACUACCAGACUAACUCAACCAACAGAUCUCAACUCCAGUUUCUCAUGUUCAACAAGAUAUCAAAGCAUUUCUAUACAAAUUUACAGAACUAUGAGAAAGUUACAACGAGAUCCUACACUUUGGGGGUGGGGCGAAAGCUGGGAAGAUGGCCCGAGUGGUUUCCUUCGUACUUCUAUGGCCUGGGGGCGAAAAACAAGGUUAAAAUUGUGAGUGGACAAAAAUAAAAUUCUUUAAAACAAAAACAAGUUAGAACAUAAUAACCCCCGUUUUGAAAUACUAGGGAUAUAAAUCGUUAAUUUAGCUAUAUUUCAAUAUAAGGAAUUCAAUAAACAUGAAUAAAUAUACUGACGAAUAAACUUGCAUAACUGAUCAAAUAUAUAUAAAGAUAAUAACGCAUGAAUAUCAAGAAACUGGUAUAAAAUCACGGGAAAUCAUAACUGGAUAAAAGAGCUCAAAAUCCUUUGAAACUACCACCUAGAUGUACCCCUGUCAUAUCCGUCAAUUCCCCUGGCAGGUCUCGGGCGUCACGCAGUCUACCCGAGCCGCAAACUGGCGAAAUCAAGGGACUAUGAUCAGCCUGAUCCGCCGGCAGGUCUCGAUGACACCAAGUCGACUCGAGCCGCUCUGGCAGGAUGCAGGGGACCGCAGUCAGCCUGAUCCGCAAUCCUGGCAGGUCUCGGGGACACAGAGUCAGCCGAGCCGCAAAUCCUGGCAGGUCUCGGGACACCAAGUCUGCCGAGCCGCAAAUUCUGGCACUCACGGUCCGAGCGUCCCCGAAACUCGUGAGGCAAAGUCAAGUGCACUGACGUAACUGAAAUCAGACUGGAUGUUCGUAGACAUCGGUCCGACUGUGGGUAAUCACCAUAAAUAGAUGGGUACAUGGUGGUUUAACAAGAAAUUCUGAUAACUCUCUGAAAUCUGAUAAGUCUGAACUAAAUUACUAUCUUUGUAUCAAAAGUCUCAAGUUUACUGCUCAACCAAUAUUAUAAAAAUAAAGAUAUUUCACAAUGCAAAUCAUGCUUCGAAAUUACGUAAUAACACUUAUUCAAGAUCAAAUAGAAAAUAUAAUUAUAAAAUCUUUUAGGAAAGAAAAGUCCACUCACUGUUGGUCCGAGCUAUCUGGACCCUUCGAAGAUCCCUCAUGUGGGUCAACUGGACCUCUGGUGCCUUACUCGAUUGAUUUGGUGGAGAAUUGAAGGAGAACGAAGGAGAUGAAGUUUGGAUGAAAAACAGGCGGAAAUCGCCAGUUUCCGGCCAAUUCCCGGCGGUCCAAGGCCGGCGACGGGUCGAGGAAGGGAGGCGGCGGCGAGGCGGACCGAUUGACACCAACGGCGGAGGUCGCCGUGCCCUGUAGCGACGGCACGCUCGAUCUGAAACAGGGAGGGGGGCGGCGGUUGCGACGGGAGAGAGAGAGAGAGAGGAGAGAGAAAUGAGGAGAGAGAAGAGAGAAGGAAGAGAUAAAAUCUGACUUUUUUUUCAAAUUACCGUUUUGCCCUUCGAGGUAAUUUAAUCGUAUCUUCUUCAUUACAAUUCCAAUUCGGGUCUACUCCGUGUCUACGGACUCGUUUCGCCGUGCUCUACGCAACGGCGCAAGCGAAAUUCUCAAAUUCUUUCUUGAUCAAAAAGUCAAAUUUUCCCCUAUUAAAAUAUGCGAGGGCAAAAUCGUCUUUUGGGUAGAAUAAAGAAAUCCUAAUUUUUAGAUAUUUUAGUUUGGGUUAUUACAGUGGGGGGUGGAGAGAUGAUGGGAGGUCGAUUUAACAGGGUUAAGUGUUGUUAAGUGGUUUACCACAUGUCAAAAAAAUAGAAGGAAAACAUGUCGGGCACAUGGCAUUUGGUAACAGUAAAAUUGGACUCAUGAAUGAGUUAGGUGUUGUGUGAUAGAGUGUAUUAGGGUGUACCAUGGGUAUUUUUAGUAGUUAAAUAGGAUGUACUGAGUUAAUUUUAUAAUUUGAUUUAAAUAUUAGGGUAUACUUAGAUCAUAGGGUGUACUCAGUUAAUUUUAAGGUUUGUUUAGCAACAUUCUAAUGUUUUGUUAUCCCCGGUCAAUAAUUUUAUAUCGUGUGGCUUAGAAGGAGGCCUGUUAUCCAACUCAUCUGGUCCACCGUCCAUGAUAUGAACCCGACUUGAGAAUCUUUUGGUGAAGUAGAACAACCCAACUUGAGAGUUGAGGCAGCCAAACUAGAAGGGAAGCAUCCCCACUCCAGUCCCGCUCCCCAUGUGCCCAAUACUUUGCUUGUUUACUUCACCUUUUAAACCUUUUAGGAUUUUCCAUAGGCUAAGAGGAAAACAACAACAUUACGGCCCAGUUUACGAAUGGAUUCGAGGGGAAAUUACUUCCCAUGCCAUUUUUUAAGGGAUGGAAAAUGGAGAUUCAUUUCCCAUAUUUGAUAAUCCUAGGAAAGUAACUAAGAAAUACUACUUUAUUUCCUUUCACAUAUUUGGUUUGUGUAGGAAUGUAAAACAAAGUUAGUUUAAUUUUUCAAUUAUAUCCAUAUGAAAUUAAAUUUUAAAAAAAAUGUAUUUAAUGCUAUAUUGUUAAUGGGGACAAUAUGGUCAUGAAAAAUGUGUAUUUAAUGUUGGCUAAUUUUCUCAAACUUUCUCAUGUGCAAGACAACGAUUUCUCAUGCCUAGACUUACCAAAUAUGGGAAAGCAAUUGAUUUCUCAUCACCAAGCCUCCUUUCCCAUGAACCAAACAGGACCUACAAGUUAUUAGCUUCAAGCCUUCAAGGAUUUUCAUAACAAAUCUUCCAAUCUCACACAAAAAUAAAAAAGCAUCCAUGUAUGUAAUUUCUAGAUUAAAAUCUCACUUUUUAGGCAUUCCAUUUUCUUAGGAUUAGGUAUUACUACGCACGGACAAUCUUACGAUUAUCUGCAAUUCAUCCUUCAAUAGCUAUGGACGUUAUAUCAAAUCAACAAUAAGACGUACAUUUCUUCAAAGAACUAAAUCAUGCGGAUGUCAACUUGCUCUCACUUAUAUGUUUGUCUCUCCAUAUGAGGAAGGGUGUUUAGCUUAAGGUUUUAGGGCGCGGUUGUCUAAGAACAAUAAGGUGAACAUGUUUUGUCAAAGUACAUGGGAGACCUUUAUCUUCAAACACAAAAAAUGGCCAAAAUUAAAUUAGCAAGGAUCGACAUAUGGAUGUGAGCUUUUACACAUUGCCACUAAUUCUCUCCAUACUUUUGUUGAAAUCAUUUACAAAAUAAGAAAACUUUAGUAAUUGAAGCGAAAGAGAAGAAUUACCAGAACAGAAAAUAAGAAAAAAGAAGCACCUAACCCAAACUUUAAGUCACGAAUUUAACAGUUUACUUUUUAAAAAAAGUAAGUUACAAAACAAUCCCCUUAUUGAUGAGGAUUGAGAAUUUAAGAGCACUAAUAACUUGAGUGAGGAAUAUUGCACAUGGACGAUGGAUCUCUCUCUCUCUCUUUGAAAAAAAAGAAAAAAGAAACAAAAAUCAACUUCAUUAUCCUUAGUGAAUUUGUUCUGGAUUAGUUGUGUUGCAAUGGAACAUCGAACCUACCUAGCUAAAAGGAAAAAAGAAAGGCCACUACGACAGUACUGCAGUAUAUUAUUCCAAGAAGACAAAUGUAAACUAUAUACGUGAAGAAUAUCUAUUAUUGGUCGUCAUUUUCAAUCCUCAUAAAAGAAAACUUACUUCGCCAUAAUUUCAGGUUGUUCUCAAGGCAGGAAGGUAAGGACACUUGAAAAGAUUCCUUCUCAUCAUCUAUACAAGGAAAUGUGUUCUCAUCAAGCUAGGGGACAAGGCAAAUUAGCAACCUUUAUACUCGAUAUAUUAUUCCAAGCAGAUAUACAUGUGAAGAAUAUUAUGAUCUUGAUCAAUAUGGAAUCAGUGGGUGUAUCGAUCGACCAUCCAAAGAAAAAGGAUAUCCUCUGCAUAUAUGUGUGCAUGCCAACAACUAUAAAAGGAGACCAUGAGGCAAUGAGUUGAUCAUCAAAGCAAACACACAGAUAUCCCAACUAAAAAUCAUUCAGUGAGACAAUGGCUGGAACCAAUGAUAUUAAAAUUAAAGGGUUCGAUUUGAGCAAAAACAGCGGCAACACGUCCGGAUUAACCCACUUCGCCAACAGAGCUGACGAGGGCGACAAGGGCGACAAUAAAAUCGAGGUUGAGGAUGCUAAAGCGCAAGAUAACAAGGGAAACUUGAAAGUACUGACCGACUUCGCCCAACGUGGUAAGGUGGGCCAGUCGGAUCGCCAAGAAAUCACGGGGAGCAAGCCACUUCAGACGGCAGCAUGAAAUUGAUGAAGGCCAUACCAUAAUAAAAUAUCUACACUAAAAUAAGAGCUGAUGCAGUAUCUGAGGCUCCUUCCUUGGUUAGGCCUCAUUAUCAUGUGCAAUACUAAUAUUAUUAUUCUAAUAAAAUAAUGGUAGCUUAUUAUUAAAUAUAUCAAAAUUCUAUACGUAUAACUUUUAGAUUAUUGAUACUGAUGACAUACCAACAAGAGAAAACGAUUCAAAAGUCCUUUCUCCAAUUCGUGAUGUUACAAAAUGAGACGUCAAAUUUAAAAAUAUAGUUGCAUACGAGUAUAAACUGAACCAAUAAGCAAUGUAUGAGUGACCAAAGGUCUCAAACGAUGCAUUUAAGAAGAAGGGUACUAAAUUAAAAGAUGUACGCCAGUGAACUAUGGCAAUCUCUCGUUGCAUGCACGCAUAUGCAAUUGAAGAAGACCUAACUUAUAUCACGAAGAAGUGGAUGGGUCUUUACAUAUGAAGUUUUUAAAAUUAACACUACCGGAAGACAAUAGGAGUAUCGGCGUAUCUGAUACAAGUAUCGGAGUCUCGGAGUAUUAGAUUUGAGCAUACCUGUCCAAAUAGGAGUAUCGGUGCAACAUAGAUGAAAAGGAAUUGGAUGUGAUUUCACAUAUUUUUAAAGAACAGGGGAAAUAAACCAAUUAAUCUCUUUCGUCUUGUCCACACAUUUCUUGUUGCAAAUUUUGGUUUUCAAAAAAUUUGGCAUUUCAAGCAACUUGGAAAACAUUUUGAUGAUCCAUUAUUGAACCUCUAAAGUCGAUAUUCAAUCCCUAUCGACCUUGCUCAAAAAAUGUCUCAUUUCAAUUAGUGCAGAGAAAAAUAAAGGCAGAGUUGAAAAUAGAUUUUUCAGUUUGGAAAGUGACAUUGAGAUGUAAAAAGACUAGACAUUAAGGUGGCAAGAGAGAUCUAACAGGAUCAGACAAAAAAGGAAAAAAAAAUGAAUGAAAAAUAGAAAAUGCCCUAGAAAGGGGAGAACAACUUAGUUGCAAUGGGGAUAACAAUAUCUUGCUAUUACUGGUCAAUAAUUUUAUACCACGUGGCCUAGAAGGAGGCCUGUUAGUCCAACUCAUCUGGUCCACUUCCCAUUAUAUGAACCCGACUUGAGAGUUUUGGUUUUUUGGUUGAAGUAGAACAACCCGACUUGAGAAUUGAGGCAGCCAAACUAGAAGGGAAGCAGCCCACUCCACUCCCGCUCCCCAUGUGCCCAGUACUUCGCUUGUUUACUUCACCUUUUAAACCUUUUAGGAUUUUUUUUAUAGGAUAAGAGGAAAACGACGACAUUACAAGUUAUUACGCAUCAACGUAUGUAAUUUCUAGAUUAAAAUCUCACUUUUUACGCAUGUCAUUAUCUUAGGAUUAUGUAUUACUACGCACUGACAAUCUUACGAUUAUCUGCAAUUCAUCCUUCAAUGACCAAAGACGUUAUAUCAAAUCAACAAUAAGACAUACAUUUCUCCAAAUAACUAAAUUAUGUGGAUUUCAACUUGCUCUCAUUUAUAUGUUUGUCUCUCUCCUCCUAUUGAUUAGCCUCUCCAUAAGAGCAAAUAUGAAAAAAGAAGCUCCCAAUCCGAACUUUAAGUCACAAGUUUAACAGUUUACUUUUAAACAAAAGCAAGUUACGAAACAAUCCCCUGAUUUCCUUGUUAAACAUCAACCGACCCAUUAUUGAUGAGGAUUGAGAAUCUAAGAGCAUAUGGACGAUGGAUCUCUCUCUCUUUUUGAAAACAAAAACAAAAACAAAAAACAAAAAUCAACUUCAUUAUCCUUGGUGAAUUUGUUCUGGAUUAGUUGUUUUGAAUUAGUACAGCUUACGUACGCAAUGGAACAUCGAACUUAGCUAGCUAAAAGGAAAAAAGAAAGGCCACUACUACAGUACCGCAGUAUAUUAUUCCAAGAAGACAAAUGUAAACUAUAUACGUGAAGAAUCUCUAGUAUUGGUCGUCAUUUUCAAUCCUUAUAAAAGAAAGCUUGCUUCGCCAUAAUUUCAGGUUGUUCUCAAGGCAGGCAGAGAGAGUACGUAGCUUGGCAAGAAAGGUAAGGGCACUUCAAAAGAUUGUUUCUCAUCAUCUAUAUGAGGAAAUGUGUUGCCAUCAAGCUAGCGGACAAGGCAAAUUAGCAACCUUUAUACUCGAUAUAUUAUUCCAAGCAGAUAUACAUGUAAAUAUAUGUGAAGAAUAUUAUGAUCAUGAUCAAUAUAGAAUCUGUAUCAUGAUCAGAGGGUAUCGAUCCAGCAUCCAAAGAAAAAGGAUAUACUCUGCAUAUGUGCAUGCCAACAACUAUAAAAGGAGACCAUGAGGCAAUGAGUCGAUCAUCAACGGAAACACACAGAUAUCCCAACUAAAAAUCCAUCGUGAGACAAUGGCUGGAACCAAUGAUAUUAAAAUUAAGGGGUUUGAUUUGAGCAACAACAAAGGCAACACGUCGGGAUUAACCCACUUCGCCAACAGAGCUGACGGGGGCGACAAUGGCAACAAUAAAAUCGAGGUUGAGGAUGCUAAAGGGCAAGGGAACACGGGAAACUUGAAAGUACUGACCGACUUCGCCCAACGCGGUAAAGUGGGCCAGUCGGAUCGCCAAGAACUACUCAAACCUCAGGCAUGAAAUUGAAGAAGGCCAGACCACAACAACUUGUCUGCUUGAUAGAUAUAUGUGCUAAAUUAUCUACACAAAAAUAAGAGCUGAUGUUUUAUCUGAGGCUCCUUCCUUGGUUAGGCCUCGUUAUCAUGUGUAAUAUUAAUAUUAUUAUUCUAAUAAAAUAAUGGUAGCUUAUUAUUAAAUAUAUCAAAAUUCUAUACGUAUAACUUUUAGAUUAUUGAUACUGAUGUCAACAAGAGAAAAUGAUUAAAAAGUCCUUUCUCCAAUUCGUGAUGUUACAAAAUGAGACUUCAAAUUUUAAAACUAUAGUUGCAUACGAGUACAAAACUGAACCAAACAAUGUAUGGGCCAGAGUGACCAAGGAUGUACGCCAGUGAACUAAUGGCAAUCUCUCGUUGCAUGCACGCAUAUGCAAUUGAAGGAGGCAUUAUCUGAGGCUCCUUCCUUGGCUAGGCCUCAUUUUCAAUUUUGAUUUCAACUUUGAUUUUGCUUAAACUUUGAUUUUGAGCUAGACUGUGAUUUCGACUUUGAUCUCCCAAUUCGUGCCUUAAGAAUCAGUUUCUCCCAACUCUAUUUACCAAAACCGAAAACUCUGAACUUUUCAAUUCGUCUGGCUACUCUCAGGGUUUCAUGCCUUAGUUUCCUCUCGCCAAAAAGCCAAAAAGACUUGGCUUUCAUGUAAUGCUAUACUCCUCGAUUGAACAAGCCGCGUCUUCAAAUUCAGCUUUCUCACUUCCUUUCUCUUUACUUUCUUUCUUUUGUUUUCCGGCUGGGAAAAUCAUGGAAGCAUUACAAAUUUAAGAGAAUAUUCUAGUAUUAGGGUCCAAACUGUACUAUUUAGGUAUUUUCAUUCUGAUUAAGAGUUCUUUUCUAGAAAUUUGGGGAAGAAAAAAUAGAGUUUCUGUUUUAGUGUUUGAUUUUCAUUACAGUGAAUUAUGUGAAACCGAAAUGUUUCUUGUCUGAUUUCAUCACUGCUUUCAAAUUGCAAAUUAAGGAUUUGAAGGUUAACAAUGCCCGUCUUUAACAAUGUCGCAUUUCAAUUAGUACAAAAGAAAAAUAAAGGCAUAGUUGAAAAUAGAUUUUUCAGUUUCGAAAGUGACAUUGAGAUUUAAAAAGACUAGACAUUAAGAUGGCAAGAGAGAUCUAAAAGGAUCAAACAAAAAAAGUGAAUGAAAAAUUGAAAAUGCCCUAGAAAGGGAGGAAAUCUUAGUUGCAAUGGGGAUAACAAUGUUUUGCUAUCCUCGAACAAUAAUUUUACACCACGUGACCUAGAAGGAGGCAUGUUAAUCUAACUCAUCUGGUCCACCGUCCAUGAUAUGAACCCGACUUGUGAGUUUUUUUUUUUUUUUGUUGAAGUAGAACAACCAAACUUGAGAGUUGAUGUCACAUCUCAGGAUCGGCUUCACCGUAGCACGAUAUUGUCUGCUUUGGGCCCCCUCGCUGUCCUCGCGGUUUUGUUUCUAGGAGCUCACGAGCAACUUCUCAGUUGGUCACUCAUCUUAGGAUUGCUCUGGCCCAAACUCACUUAACUUCGGAGUUCUCAUGACUCCGAAGCUAGUGAGCUCCUAAAAGGCCUCGUACUAAAUGGAAGUGGGCAUAUAUAUAUAAGGCACAACACCCCAUCUUCGUUGGUUGAUGUGGAAUGUUACAAUCCACCCCCCUUAGAGGUCUGACUUCCUCGUCGGCACACUCUCACCACACGGCAGAGUGGCUCUGAUACCAAACUGUCACAUCCCGGGAACGGCUCCGUCGUAGCACGAUAUUGUCCGCAUUGGGCCAACCUUUCUGCCCUCACGGUUUUGUUACUGGGAGCUCACGAGCAACUUCCCAGUGAAUCACUCAUCCUGGGAUUGCUCUAGCCCAAACUCGCUUCACUUCGGAGUUCCUAUGACUCCGAAGCCAAUUAGCUCCCAAAAGACCUCGUGCUAGAUAAAGGUGGGCACGUACAUAUAAGGCACAUCACCUUCUCUUCGUUGAUCGAUGUGGGAUGUUACAGUUGAGGGCUCCGUUGGUCGAUGUAGGAUGUUACAGUUGAGGCAGCCAAACUAGAAGGGAAGCAACCCAACUCCACUCCCUCUCCCCAUGUGCCCAGUUCUCUGCUCGUUUACUUCACCUUUUAAACAUUUUAGGAUUUUCCAUAAGCAAAGAGGAGAACGACCACAUUACGGUCUCGUUUGGUUCACGAACAGAUUUAAGGGGAAAUAACUUCUCAUGUCAUUUCUCAAGGGAUGAGAAAUGGAGAUUCAUUUCCCAUAUUUGGUAAUCCUAGGAAAAUAACAAAGAAAUACCACUUUAUUUCCUUUCACAUGUUUGGUUUGUCUAGGAAUGUAAAACAAAGUUUGUUUAAUUUUCCAAUUAUACCGAUAUGAAAUCAAAUAAAAAAAGAAUAUUUAAUGUUAUAUUGUAAUUCUAAACUGUUAAUAGGGACAAUAUGAUCAUGAAAAAUGUGUAUUUAAUGUUGGCUCAUUUGCUUAUUUUCCCAAACUUUCACAUGAGGAGGAAAACAAAACCCAAGGGGGGAGGAUGGCUUCACUUUCCCCUCUACUUUCCCAUGUACAAGGCAACGAUUUCUCAAGUCUGGACUUACCAUACAUGGGAAAGAAAUUAAUUUCUCAUCCCCAAGUCAUUUUUCCCAUAAACCAAACGGAGCCUACAGGUUAUAAGCUUCAACCUUUAAGGAUUUUCAUAACAAAUCUUGCAAUCUCAUACCAAGGAAAUAAAAAUAAAAAAAAGGAUCCAUGCGUGUAAUUUCUAGAUUAAAAUCUCACUUUUUACGCAUGCCAUUAUCUAAGGAUUAGGUAUGACUACACACGAACAAUCUUACAAUUAUCUGCAAUUCGUCCUUCAAUGGCCAAAGACGUUAUAUCAAAUGAACAAUAAGACGUACAUUUCUUCAAAGAACUAAAUUAUGUGGAUUUCAACUUGCUCUCACUUAUAUGUUUCUCUCUCUCCUCCUAUUGUUUAGCUUAAGGUUUUAGGGCGUGGUUGUCUAAGAACAAUAAGGUAAACAUGCUUACAAAAAAAGAUGGACAGCAAGGAUGGACAUAUGCGAAUGUGAGCUUUUACACAUUGCCACUAAUUUUCUCCAUGAUUUUGUUGAAAUCAUUAACAAAAUAAGAAACUUUAGUAAUUGAAGCGAAAGAGACUAAUUAUCAGAAGAGAAAAUAUGAAAAAAGAAGCUCCCAAUCCAAACUUUAAGUCACAAGUUUAACAGUUUACUUUAAAACAAAAGCAAGUUACGAAACAAUCCCCUGAUUUCCUUGUUAAACAUCAACCGACCCAUUAUUGAUGAGGAUUGAGAAUCUAAGAGCAUAUGGACGAUGGAUCUCUCUCUCUUUUUGAAAACAAAAACAAAAACAAAAAUCAACUUCAUUAUCCUUAGUGAAUUUGUUCGGGAUUAGUUGUGUUGAAUUAGUACAGCUUACUUACGCAAUCGAAUAUCAAACCUAGCUAGCUAAAAAGAGAAAAAGAAAGGCCACAACGACAGUACUGUAGUAUACGUGAAGAAUCUUAUGAUCUAUAAUAUUCUGUAUUAUUGGCCAUCAUUUUCAAUCCUUAUUAAAGAAAACUUGCUUCGCCAUAAUUUCAAGUUGUUCUGAAGGCAGGCAUAGAGAGCACGUAGCUUGGCAAGGGAGGUAAGGGCACUUCGAAAGAUUCCUUCUCAUCAUCUAUACAAGGAAAUGUGUUCUCAUCAAGCUACGGGACAAGGCAAAUUAGCAACCUUUAUACUCAGAUAUAUUAUUCCAAGCAGAUAAACAUGUAAAUAUAUGUGAAGAAUAUUAUGAUAAUGAUCAAUAUAGAAUCUGUAACAUUAUCAGAGGGGUAUCGAUCGACCAUCCAAAGAAAAGGAUAUCCUCUGCAUAUGUGCAUGCCAACAACUAUAAAAGGAGACCAUGAGGCAAUGAAUCAUCAAAGCAAAGACACAGAUAUCCCAACUAAAAAUCAAUCAGUGAGACAAUGGCUGGAACUGGAACCAAUGAUAUUAAAAUUAAAGGGUUCGAUUUGAGCAACAACAGCGGCAACACGUCGGGAUUAACCCACUUCGCCAACAGAGCUGAUGGGGGCGACAAGGGCGACAAUAAAAUCGAGGUUGAGGGUGCUAAAGCGCAAGAUAACAAGGGAAACUUGAAAGUACUUACCGAUUUCGCCCAACGCGGUGAAGUGGGCAGGUCGGAUCGCCAAGAACUUCUCAAGCCUCAGGCAUGAAAUUGAAGAAGGCCAUACCAUAUAUGUGCUGAAUUAUCUACACAAAAAUAAGAGCUGAUGUUUUAUCUGAGGCUCCUUCCUUGGUUAGGCCUCGUUAUCAUGUGUAAUAUUAAUAUUAUUAUUCUAAUAAAAUAAUGGCAGCUUAUUAUUAAAUAUAUCAAAAUUCUAUACGUAUAACUUUUAGAUUCUUGAGUGGGAAACCCUAGCUGCAUUCUGGUCCCUUUUCUUCUUGCCGACAACCAACCACAAGGAAACUAAAGGGGGAGGUGGCCACUGCCCCUCCCCCCCUUCGCCCAUCUUCCCUUUCUCUCCUCAUCUUCCCUUCUUUUUCUCCCAUCUUUUCCCUUCCUCUUAUGCCCUCUUCUCUUCCCAUUCCCUUUCCCAUAUAGUCUAGAUCUAUUUGGAUCUAGGUUUUGUUUGUUUGUUUGUUUGGUUUGGUUUGGUUGUUUUUGCAGUAUUCUAGGUGACUGGUAGUGACGUUGGAUUGUGUCUAUUAUCGGGAGAGUUGUGAUACCUAGUGGCUGAUGUUUUGUCUCUGUUUCAACGACGGCGGCAGUAGCGACACUAGUGAUAGUUAUUGGAUGUGGUGCUCUUCUUUAUUCUGCACUUACCGAAGAACUAUGCUUGGUCAUAGGAGGUUUUCUUUGUCAGAUUCUGAGUUGAAGUGGAGUGCUUCUUAGGGGUCCUUUUAUUGUUGCUUCUAUGUUCCUCCUCUGUGUUCUCUCCUGUUUUCUGUUAUGGUAUGCCUUGUAGUUUGUAUGGGUGUCAAAAUACUAUGAUUUUGCUCAUAGAAGGCUUCUUUUGACAGUUGGGAUAUUCUACGAUCCUCUUCUGUGGGUUUACUAUUUGGGGUUUCUGUCGUUCUCUCAUGUGGGUGUACUAUGUUGGUAUCUAGUUGAGGUUUUCGUCGGAGUUCUUUUUGUUAGUUUUCGUUUUUGAUUUGUUCUUUUAUUGUAAUGGUCCAAAGCGACCAGAAUUAAACUCUCUUGUUAGUCCAUGACAUGUGUGGUACUCUUUUCUCCCCGGGGUUUGUCCCUUGAGAUUGCCCUAGGAAGGUUUUAACGAGGCCACUAUAUCAUGUUGCUCAUUGUACGUCUUUGGUUCUAUUAAUUAAUUCUCUUUCUUAAAAAUAACAAAAAUAAAUAAAUAAAUAAAUAAAAAUUUAGAUUAUUGAUAACGAUGUCAACAAGAGAAAAUGAUUAAAAAGUCCUUUCUCCAAUUCGUGAUGUUACAAAAUGAGACUUCAAAUUGUAAAACUAUAGUUGGAUACGAGUAUAAAACUGAACCAGGCAAUGUAUGGGCCAGAGUGACCAAGGUUGUACGACAGUGAACUAAUGGCAAUUUCUCGUUGCAUGCACGCAUAUGCAAUUGAAGAAUGCCAUAAUAAUAUGUGUUUUUACUAAAUUAUCUACACUAAAAUAAAAACUGAGGCAUUAUCUGAGGCUCUUUCCUUGGCUAGGCCUCAUUUUCAAUUUUGAUUUCAACUUUGAUUUCGCUUAAACUUUGAUUUUGAGCUAGACUGUAAUUUCGACUUUGAUUCUGAUUCUCUCCCAAUUCAUGCCUUAAGAAUCAGUUUCUCCCAACUCUAUUUACCAAAACCAAAAACUCUAAACUUUUCAAUUCGUCUGGGUACUCUCAGAGUUUCAUGCCCUAGUUUCCUCUCGCCAAAAAGCCAAAAAGACUUGGCUUUCAUGUAAUGCUAUACUCCUCGAUUGAACAAGCUGCGUCUUCAAAUUCAACUUUCUCACUUCCCUUCUCUUUACUUUCUUUUCUUUUGUUUUCCAGCCCGGAAAAUCAUGGAAGCAUUACAAAUUUAAGAGAAUAUUCUAGUAUUAGGGUCCAAACUGUACUAUUUAGGUAUUUUCAUUCUGAUUAAGAGUUCUUUUCUAGAAAUUUGGUGAAGAAAAAAUAGAGUUUCUGUUUUAGUGUUUGAUUUUCAUUAUAGUGAGUUAUGUGAAAUCGAAAUGUUUCUUGUGUGAUUUCAUCACUGCUUUCAAAUUGCAAAUUAAGGAUUUGAAGGUUACAAAUUAUUAUGUAGAUAAUUUUUGGGAAUUUAAGAGGCAGUACAGUGUUUGUAUAAGUCUUGAGAUAGACCAAUUUACCACAUGCUCGAUUUCUAUAUAUAAAUUUUUUUAAAUCAUUCUUUUGUUUUAUUUAUUCUGUUAAUUUGUCAUAAUGUGUAAUAUGAUAGCUUCUAAUUCUUUCUUCCUAUUUCUUCUUUUUUGUUAUUCUCUCCCAAAUGAAAUGAAGACCUAACUUAUAUCAAGAAGAAGAGGAUGGAUCCUUACAUAUGAAGAUUUUAAAAUUAACAUUAUUGGAAGACAGUAGGAGUAUCGGCAAUUUGAUACAAGUAUCGGAGUAUCAAAUACGAGCAUGCCCGUCUUUAACAAUGUCUCAUUUCAAUUAGUACAAAAGAAAAAUAAAGGCAGAGUUCAAAAUAGAUUGUUCAGUUUCGAAAGUGACAUUGAGAUUUAAAAAGACUAGACAUUAAGAUGGCAAGAGAGAUCUAAAAGGAUCAAACAAAAAAAAUGAAUGAAAAAUUGAAAAUGCCCUAGAAAGGGAGGAAAUCUUAGUUGCAAUGGGGAUAACAGUAUUUUGCUAUCCUCGAUCAAUAAUUUUAUACCACGUGACCUAAGGAGGCAUGUCAAUCUAGCUCAUCUGGUCCACCGUCCAUGAUAUGAACUCGACUUGAGAGUUUUUUUUUUUUUUUUUUUUUUUUUUUGGGGUUGAAGUAGAACAACUAGACUUGAGAGUUGAUGUCACAUCUCAAGGUCGGUUCCACCGUAGCACGAUAUUGUCUGCUUUGGGCCCCCUCUUUGUCCUCGCGGUUUUGUUUUUAGGAGCUCACGAGCAACUUCCCAGUUGGUCACCCAUCUUGGGAUUGCUCUAGCCCAAACUCACUUAACUUCGGAGUUCUCAUGACUUCGAAAUCAGUGAGCUCCCAAAAGGCCUCGUGCUAAAAGGAGGUGGGCAUAUACAUAUAAGGCGCAACACCCCCUCUCCGUUAGUCGAUGUGGAAUGUUACAAUCCACCCCCUUUAGAGGUCCGACGUCCUCGUCGGCACAGUCUCACCACACGGCAGAGUGGCUCUAUGCCAAAUUGUCGCAUUCCGGGAUCGGCUCCGUCGUAACACGAUAUUGUCCGCGUUGGGUCAACCUCUCUGCCCUCACGAUUUUGUUUCUGGGAGCUUACGAGCAACUUCCCAGUAGAUCACUCAUCCAAACUCGCUUAACUUCGGAGUUCCCAUGACUCCGAAGCCAGUGAGCUCCCAAAAGACCUCGUGCUAAAUGGAGGUAGGCAUGUACAUAUAAGGCACAUCACCUCCGCUCCGUUGGUCGAUGUGGGAUGUUACAGUUGAGGGCUCCGUUGGUCGAUGUACGAUGUUACAGUUGAGGGCUCCGUUGGUCGAUGUAGGAUGUUAUAGUUGAGGCAGCCAAAAUAGAAGGGAAGCAACCCUACUCCACUCCCUCUCCCCAUGUGCCCAGUUCUCUACUCGUUUACUUCACCUUUUAAACCCCUUCGUACUUGAAGACCUGGCUGGCAAUUUGAUUGAAGCGAAAGAGACUAAUUAUCCAUGCUUUUGUUGAAAUCAUUAACAAAAUAAGAAACUUUAGUAAUUGAAGCGAAAGAGACUAAUUAUCAAAACAGAAAAUAUGAAAAAAGAAGCUCCCAAUCCGAACUUUAAGUCACAAGUUUAACAGUUUACUUUAAAACAAAAGCAAGUUACGAAACAAUCCCCUUAUUUACUUGUUAAACAUCAACCGACCCAUUAUUGAUGAGGAUUGAGAAUCUAAGAGCACAUGGACGAUGGAUCUCUCUCCCUUUUUGAAAACAAAAACAAAAACCAACUUCAUUAUCCUUAGUGAAUUUGUUCUGGAUUAGUUGUGUUGCAAUGGAACAUCGAACCUACCUAGCUAAAAGGAAAAAAGAAAGGCCACUACGACAGUACUGCAGUAUAUUAUUCCAAGAAGACAAAUGUAGACUAUAUACGUGAAGAAUAUCUAGUAUUGGUCGUCAUUUUCAAUCCUCAUAAAAGAAAACUUACUUCGCCAUAAUUUCAGGUUGUUCUCAAGGCAGGAAGGUAAGGACACUUGAAAAGAUUCCUUCUCAUCAUCUAUAUAAGGAAAUGUGUUCUCAUCAAGCUAGGGGACAAGGCAAAUUAGCAACCUUUAUACUCGAUAUAUUAUUCCAAGCAGAUAUACAUGUGAAGAAUAUUAUGAUCUUGAUCAAUAUGGAAUCUGUAUCAUGAUCAGUGGAUGUAUCGAUCGACCAUCCAAAGAAAAAGGAUAUCCUCUGCAUAUAUGUGUGCAUGCCAACAACUAUAAAAGGAGACCAUGAGGCAAUGAGUUGAUCAUCAAAGCAAACACACAGAAAUCCCAACUAAAAAUCAAUCAGUGAGACAAUGGCUGGAACUGGAACCAAUGAUAUUAAAAUUAAAGGGUUCGAUGUGAGCAACAACAGCGGCAACACGUCGGGAUUAACCCACUUCGCCAACAGAGCUGCCGAGGGCGACAAGGGCGACAAUAAAAUCGAGGUUGAGGAUGCUAAAGGGCAAGGGAACACGGGAAACUUGAAAGUACUGACCGACUUCGCCCAACGCGGUAAAGUGGGCCAGUCGGAUCGCCAAGAACUUGUCAAACCUCAGGCAUGAAAUUGAAGAAGGCCAUACCAUAACCACUUGUCUGCUUGAUAGAUAUAUGUGCUAAAUUAUCUACACAAAAAUAAGAGCUGAUGUUUUAUCUGAGGCUCCUUCCUUGGUUAGGCCUCGUUAUCAUGUGUAAUAUUAAUAUUAUUAUUCUAAUAAAAUAAUGGUAGCUUAUUAUUAAAUAUACCCAAAUACUAUACGUAUAACUUUUAGAUUAUUGAUACUGGUGUCAACAAGAGAAAAUGAUUAAAAAGUCCUUUCUCGCAUUCGUGAUGUUAGAA